This 767-nucleotide ribosomal RNA is filed under the name uncultured Mycobacterium sp. RNAcentral's name for it is "bacterial SSU rRNA". It matches the Rfam family "Bacterial small subunit ribosomal RNA", at positions 574 to 1339 of the family's 1533-position model. The record is from RNAcentral. Lineage: Bacteria; Bacillati; Actinomycetota; Actinomycetes; Mycobacteriales; Mycobacteriaceae.
GGUGGUUUGUCGCGUUGUUCGUGAAAUCUCACGGCUUAACUGUGAGCGUGCGGGCGAUACGGGCAGACUUGAGUACUGCAGGGGAGACUGGAAUUCCUGGUGUAGCGGUGGAAUGCGCAGAUAUCAGGAGGAACACCGGUGGCGAAGGCGGGUCUCUGGGCAGUAACUGACGCUGAGGAGCGAAAGCGUGGGGAGCGAACAGGAUUAGAUACCCUGGUAGUCCACGCCGUAAACGGUGGGUACUAGGUGUGGGUUUCCUUCCUUGGGAUCCGUGCCGUAGCUAACGCAUUAAGUACCCCGCCUGGGGAGUACGGCCGCAAGGCUAAAACUCAAAGAAAUUGACGGGGGCCCGCACAAGCGGCGGAGCAUGUGGAUUAAUUCGAUGCAACGCGAAGAACCUUACCUGGGUUUGACAUGCACAGGACGCCGGCAGAGAUGUCGGUUCCCUUGUGGCCUGUGUGCAGGUGGUGCAUGGCUGUCGUCAGCUCGUGUCGUGAGAUGUUGGGUUAAGUCCCGCAACGAGCGCAACCCUUGUCUCAUGUUGCCAGCGGGUAAUGCCGGGGACUCGUGAGAGACUGCCGGGGUCAACUCGGAGGAAGGUGGGGAUGACGUCAAGUCAUCAUGCCCCUUAUGUCCAGGGCUUCACACAUGCUACAAUGGCCGGUACAAAGGGCUGCGAUGCCGCGAGGUUAAGCGAAUCCUUUUAAAGCCGGUCUCAGUUCGGAUCGGGGUCUGCAACUCGACCCCGUGAAGUCGGAGUCGCUAGU